UAAACGACUCUCGGCAACGGAUAUCUCGGCUCACGCAUCGAUGAAGAACGUAGCAAAAUGCGAUACUUGGUGUGAAUUGCAGAAUCCCGUGAACCAUCGAGUUUUUGAACGCAAGUUGCGCCCGAAGCCUUUCGGCUGAGGGCACGUCUGCCUGGGCGUCACGC
RNAcentral lists this ribosomal RNA (164 nucleotides) under Bidens meyeri. Its description in RNAcentral is "5.8S ribosomal RNA". It matches the Rfam family "5.8S ribosomal RNA". Rfam says of the family: 5.8S ribosomal RNA (5.8S rRNA) is a component of the large subunit of the eukaryotic ribosome. It is transcribed by RNA polymerase I as part of the 45S precursor that also contains 18S and 28S rRNA. Lineage: Eukaryota; Viridiplantae; Streptophyta; Magnoliopsida; Asterales; Asteraceae. The record is from RNAcentral.